RNAcentral lists this ribosomal RNA (253 nucleotides) under uncultured bacterium. RNAcentral describes it as "partial 16S ribosomal RNA". It matches the Rfam family "Bacterial small subunit ribosomal RNA", at positions 524 to 776 of the family's 1533-position model. The record is from RNAcentral.
UACAGAGGAGCCAAGCGUUGUCCGGAUUGACUGGGCGUAAAGCGCACGCAGGCGGAUGUGCGCGUGGGGUGUGAAAUCUGGCCGCUUAACGGCCAGGCGCCAUCCCAUACGGCACGUCUGGAGGGCUGCAGAGGUCGAUGGAAUUGCCGGUGCAGUGGUGAAAUGCGUAGAGAUGUGGAGGAACACCGAUGGCGAAGGCAGCCUCCUGGGCCAGCACUGACGCUCAUGCACGAAAGCGUGGGGAGCAAACAGG